GAUGAAGAACGUAGCGAAAUGCGAUAAGUAGUGUGAAUUGCAGAAUUCAGUGAAUCAUCGAAUCUUUGAACGCACAUUGCGCCCCUUGGUAUUCCAUGGGGCAUGCCUGUUCGAGCGUCAUUUGUACCUUCAAGCUCUGCUUGGUGUUGGGUGUUUGUCUCGCCUCUGCGUGUAGACUCGCCUCAAAACAAUUGGCAGCCGGCGUAUUGAUUUCGGAGCGCAGUACAUCUUGCGCUUUGCACUCAUAACGACGACGUCCAAAAGUACAUUUUUACACUCUUGACCUCGGAUCAGGUAGGGAUACCCGCUGAACUUAAGCAUAUCAAUAAGCGGAGGA
Molecule: unclassified non-coding RNA, 337 nt
Filed under: soil metagenome
Description: partial contains 5.8S ribosomal RNA, internal transcribed spacer 2, and large subunit ribosomal RNA
Rfam family: 5.8S ribosomal RNA (bases 1-120)
Source: RNAcentral